Non-coding RNA from Pseudophryne corroboree (corroboree frog), 73 nucleotides. The record is from the annotation of a RefSeq genome assembly. NCBI's taxonomy places the organism in Eukaryota, Metazoa, Chordata, Amphibia, Anura, Myobatrachidae.
CCUUCGAUAGCUCAGCUGGUAGAGCAUAGGACUGUAGAUCCAUAGGUUGUUGGUUCAAUUCCGGCUCGAAGGA